RNAcentral lists this long non-coding RNA (379 nucleotides) under Ananas comosus (pineapple). RNAcentral describes it as "long non-coding RNA (ACOM_LNC043203)". The record is from RNAcentral. Lineage: Eukaryota; Viridiplantae; Streptophyta; Magnoliopsida; Poales; Bromeliaceae.
AGGAACCAACAAAACUCUAUAUAAAAUUAUAUAUUCAAAAUAUACAAACUGAAUUAAGAUAAAAUGUAUUUUUUAAAAUUUAAAUUUUCAAAUUGUUAAUUUCAAAUUUUAGGAUUUAAACAAAAGGGAGUUAGAAAUUUUAAAUUUUAAAUAAAUUACAUAAAUUUUCCGCCGCGAAGCGUGGGCCUACACUAGUAUGUAAUAAAGUUUGAUUAGAUCGACCGUCCCUAGCGCAAGUGGCAAAAGGCUUGAUGGUUGGUAUCCGAGAUUCCAAGUUCGAAUCCUAGUUGAUUACAUUUCUUGCUAAAUUUAUUUCUAAAUGAAAUAAACGAAACGGAUAGCUUGCUACCUAUCUAUCUCAAAAAAAUAAAGUUUGAUC